UGUGGGAGCGGGCUUGCUCGCGAAUGCGGUCUGUCAGCUUGCAUUGAUGGCGACUGACACUCCACUUUCGCGAGCAAGCCCGCUCCCACA
Molecule: non-coding RNA, 90 nt
Filed under: Pseudomonas sp. 478
Lineage: Bacteria; Pseudomonadati; Pseudomonadota; Gammaproteobacteria; Pseudomonadales; Pseudomonadaceae
Source: RNAcentral